This 497-nucleotide ribosomal RNA is filed under the name uncultured bacterium. RNAcentral describes it as "partial 16S ribosomal RNA". It matches the Rfam family "Bacterial small subunit ribosomal RNA", at positions 28 to 507 of the family's 1533-position model. The record is from RNAcentral.
GAUGAACGCUGGCGGCGUGCCUAAUACAUGCAAGUCGAGCGAACGGACGAGAAGCUUGCUUCUCUGAUGUUAGCGGCGGACGGGUGAGUAACACGUGGAUAACCUACCUAUAAGACUGGGAUAACUUCGGGAAACCGGAGCUAAUACCGGAUAAUAUUUUGAACCGCAUGGUUCAAAAGUGAAAGACGGUCUUGCUGUCACUUAUAGAUGGAUCCGCGCUGCAUUAGCUAGUUGGUAAGGUAACGGCUUACCAAGGCAACGAUGCAUAGCCGACCUGAGAGGGUGAUCGGCCACACUGGAACUGAGACACGGUCCACACUCCGACGGGAGGCAGCAGUAGGGAAUCUUCCGCAAUGGGCGAAAGCCUGACGGAGCAACGCCGCGUGAGUGAUGAAGGUCUUCGGAUCGUAAAACUCUGUUAUUAGGGAAGAACAUAUGUGUAAGUAACUGUGCACAUCUUGACGGUACCUAAUCAGAAAGCCACGGCUAACUACGUG